UAGGGAAUCUUCGGCAAUGGACGAAAGUCUGACCGAGCAACGCCGCGUGAGUGAAGAAGGUUUUCGGAUCGUAAAACUCUGUUGUUAGAGAAGAACAAGGACGUUAGUAACUGAACGUCCCCUGACGGUAUCUAACCAGAAAGCCACGGCUAACUACGUGCCAGCAGCGGCGGUAAUCCGUAGGUGGCAAGCGUUGUCCGGAUUUAUUGGGCGUAAAGCUAGCGCAGGCGGUUUCUUAAGUCUGAUGUGAAAGCCCCCGGCUCAACCGGGGAGGGUCAUUUGAAACUGGGAGACUUGAGUUCAGAAGAGGAGAGUGGAAUUCCAUGUGUAGCGGUGAAAUGCUUAGAUAUAUGGAGUAACACCAUUGGCGAAGGCGGCUCUCUGGUCUGUAACUGACGCUGAGGCUCGAAAGCGUGGGGAGCAAACAGG
This 429-nucleotide ribosomal RNA is filed under the name Gemmatimonadota bacterium. RNAcentral's name for it is "Gemmatimonadetes bacterium partial 16S ribosomal RNA". It matches the Rfam family "Bacterial small subunit ribosomal RNA", at positions 355 to 776 of the family's 1533-position model. The record is from RNAcentral. Lineage: Bacteria; Pseudomonadati; Gemmatimonadota.